AACGAACGCUGGCGGCAUGCCUAACACAUGCAAGUCGAACGAAGCCUUCGGGCUUAGUGGCGCACGGGUGCGUAACGCGUGGGAAUCUGCCCCUCGGUUCGGAAUAACGCAGAGAAAUUUGUGCUAAUACCGGAUGAUGACGAAAGUCCAAAGAUUUAUCGCCGAGGGAGGAGCCCGCGUAGGAUUAGCUAGUUGGUGAGGUAAAGGCUCACCAAGGCGACGAUCCUUAGCUGGUCUGAGAGGAUGAUCAGCCACACUGGGACUGAGACACGGCCCAGACUCCUACGGGAGGCAGCAGUGGGGAAUAUUGGACAAUGGGCGAAAGCCUGAUCCAGCAAUGCCGCGUGAGUGAUGAAGGCCUUAGGGUUGUAAAGCUCUUUUACCAGGGAUGAUAAUGACAGUACCUGGAGAAUAAGCUCCGGCUAACUCCGUGCCAGCCGCCGCCGUAA
This 449-nucleotide ribosomal RNA is filed under the name uncultured bacterium. Its description in RNAcentral is "partial 16S ribosomal RNA". It matches the Rfam family "Bacterial small subunit ribosomal RNA", at positions 29 to 523 of the family's 1533-position model. The record is from RNAcentral.